Molecule: long non-coding RNA, 1456 nt
Filed under: Notechis scutatus (mainland tiger snake)
Lineage: Eukaryota; Metazoa; Chordata; Lepidosauria; Squamata; Elapidae
Description: lncRNA (ENSNSUG00000007142.1)
Source: RNAcentral
UUUUUUUGUUUCUCAUUCCUUUCACAGUGGAUGGAUGCAUCCACCGUGCAGCCGGACCUCUGCUGAAAGAAGAAUGCCGGACACUGAAUGGUUGCGAGACUGGAAAAGCGAAAAUCACCUGUGGGUACCGUCUCCCAGCUAGAUUUGUGAUUCACACAGUGGGGCCCAUCGCCCAGGGCCAGCCCAGUUCCUCGCAGGAGACCGAACUCGGCGACUGCUACAAGAACAGCUUGAAACUCGCCUUGGAAAACAAGCUGCAAACAGUGGCCUUCCCCUGUAUUUCCACCGGGGUGUUUGGUAAGUACCAAGGCAGAGGGGAAGAGAGAAAGGUGGGCAGGAUACCUGCCCAGGUAUUCGGCCACUUCCAAUGUUCCUUCACAGGCUACCCGAAUGACGAUGCUGCGGAGGUUGUUCUCAACACAUUACACAGUUGGCUAGAAGGCAACAAGGACAAGGUAUAUGGGUGGGCCAAGGCCUUUGGCGGGAGCUGGAAAAAGCAGCCGUUUGGCUCGGCCCGGUGUCUCUUUCUGACCAAGCACACAAUCUUAGCUUCUCAGCCAACAGCUGGCCUUUUGCAGGGGGUGGUGUGUACUGUAGGAUAGGCGGGGAAAAUUGAGAGGGGAAAAACUCUUUUAAAGGGAUUAUUAGUAAACCCAUGCAAAGCCCCAUCACAGAAUUUGGAGUAGUGCUCUCCACUUAUAGUCCUCUACUUAUAACUGUUCGUUAAGUGACAAAAGUUGAAGAGCUGUGACUUACCUGUGUUAGAAAUCCCUUCAACCCAAACUCUAAUUUGAGAUAAGAGUACCUUUAAACUUGGAUUGGGCCAGGUGCAAGCAGUGUGUGAAGGCGGGCCCCACACAUUUCCAAAGUGCCAUCCUGACCUCCCCCCCCUCCCAGCUUCCUUUUCCUGCUAACCAUGGUUAUAUCUUGGCCAGGUCGAGCGGCUGAUCGUCUGUGUUUUCCUGGAAAAGGACGAUGAAAUUUAUAAGGAGAAGCUGCCCAAGUUUUUUCCCAUCGAUCCCGCUGAGGAACCUCCGUCCUCAAAGCUCUGAAGUGGCUCCCCUGCAAAUCCCGCUGCUUCUCUGCAGGAGGAGACGCCGGAUCUUUUCCAAGGGGGGAAAGCUAGGAGAAAACAGCCCCCCCCCCUCUUCUUCUUCUUCCCCAGGCGCGAUCGGCCGCAAUGCCGGAAUAAAAAUGAAAAGAGGAUCCGGUCGUGUCGCUGGUAAAAGCCUGGUGGGUGGAUGGGGGCGAGUGAGUAGAAGCGGGACUGGGGUCCUGGGUGAAACACCCACAUACACAGUACUUACACACACACACACACACACACACAGAGAAUUACAUCCGCCUACCUACUGGACCCCCCCCACCUCCCGGCCUAUCCCGGCUAGACUUAAGCGACUGAGAGUUUCAGGCCCCCCCUUUUGGCAGACCGUUUUGCUGUGCUUAGCAGUUUUCU